GAAUGCAUUACUGGGCAAAUACUCCAUUGGCAGUAGAUUACUCUGCUGCGAUAGCGAUUAAUCGGAUGGCUGAAUAGUAAGUUCUACUGCCAAAGGAGAUUUGCCCCGCAAUUCUGGU
Non-coding RNA from Daucus carota subsp. sativus, 118 nucleotides. Lineage: Eukaryota; Viridiplantae; Streptophyta; Magnoliopsida; Apiales; Apiaceae. The record is from Rfam.